Molecule: ribosomal RNA, 684 nt
Filed under: uncultured archaeon
Lineage: Archaea
Description: bacterial SSU rRNA
Rfam family: Archaeal small subunit ribosomal RNA
Source: RNAcentral
GGAUAACCUACCCUUAGGACUGGGAUAACCUUGGGAAACUGAGGACAAUACCGGAUAGGCAAUUAUUCCUGUAAUGGUUUUUUGUUUAAAUGUUUUUUCGCCUAAGGAUGGGUCUGCGGCCGAUUAGGUAGUUGGUUAGGUAAUGGCUUACCAAGCCGUUGAUCGGUACGGGUUGUGAGAGCAAGAGCCCGGAGAUGGAACCUGAGACAAGGUUCCAGGCCCUACGGGGUGCAGCAGGCGCGAAACCUCCGCAAUGUGAGAAAUCGCGACGGGGGGAUCCCAAGUGCCAUUCUUAACGGGAUGGCUUUUCAUUAGUGUAAAGAGCUUUUGGAAUAAGAGCUGGGCAAGACCGGUGCCAGCCGCCGCGGUAACACCGGCAGCUCUAGUGGUAGCAAUUUUUAUUGGGCCUAAAGCGUCCGUAGCCGGUUUAAUAAGUCUCUGGUGAAAUCCUGUAGCUUAACUGUGGGAAUUGCUGGAGAUACUAUUAGACUUGAGACCGGGAGAGGUUAGAGGUACUCCCAGGGUAGAGGUGAAAUUCUGUAAUCCUGGGAGGACCGCCUGUUGCGAAGGCGUCUAACUGGAACGGUUCUGACGGUGAGGGACGAAAGUUAGGGGCGCGAACCGGAUUAGAUACCCGGGUAGUCCUAACUGUAAACGAUGCGGACUUGGUGUUGGGGUGGCUUU